GAAGGGGACUCUGGCCUGCAGAGGGGGGGCUCCUUGAGGGCCCCUUCCCUCACCAGCCGCUCAGAUCGUCUGCAGCAGCGCCUGCGUAUCACCCAGCACUUUGGACAGAACCGGCCCCUUCGCCCUAGGAGUCGCCCCAGCAGGAGACUCAGGCUGGAAGAGAAGCCCUCUGAGUCCCUGGAAGAGAGGACACCCUCCCUGAGCCCAGAGGAUGCUCAGGACCCGUGGGCAGAGGAAGCGCUGGACGGCAGCUUCCUGGGGUCUGGAGAAGAACUGGAUUUGCUAAGUGAGAUAUUGGAUAGCCUGAGCACAAGAGCCACGCGGACUGGUAGCCUUCGGCCCAGCCAGAGUUUAGACUGCUGCCACAGAGAGGACUUGGACAGCUGCCUCAGCCUGGUGAAAGCCCCACUCCCCGGCCCCCCAGUCCCUCCCCAUUUGCCCAUCCAACCUGCCAGCACCUGCUUCAUCCAAAGGCCAGCAAUCUGCCAUCUCCCACCCCCACCCAGCCUGACAUACCCGGCUUCCCCCCACUGUCCCCUGGCAUUGGCCACUGACUUUACCUUGUACAUGAGAAGACUCUGCACACCCUUCAAGCCGCUCUUUGCCUAUGGAGGAACCGAAAGAGUGAUUUGACAAGGGUAUUUGAGAACCAGGCCCUCAACCCCCGAGGACAGAUUCAUCUUGCCAUCUGCUCAUGGGUGACUCAAAAUACAUUCAGAAUCCCCCUGUACUAAGGAGCUAAGGAGUCAAUACAAACAUGCCUCUUUGACUAAUAUAAAAGGAAUAUUCCUCGAGGAGAUAACCCCCAAAUGAAACUGGGAGUGGCAAAGCUGGAAUGCUGUAAAAAAUCAGUGUUCAAAAGCAGAGCAAAGAAUAAAAAUUCAACAGACAGUUCCGAGCUGCGGGAGCCGGUCCCAGGAAACUUUUGGAUUUGGGAGAAAAACAAAACACUAAGCAUGCAAGCAGGAAUGUUAGUGUCUCAGAAGGAAUACCCCGAGACGUUUGCCAAAGAAUCCUGGUGAUCAUUUUUAAAUAGGAAAGACGUGAUCUGACAAACGGGAAAGAACACAGUCAAUGGAACAUAAAAGUAGGAAACAUUGCAACUGGUUUAACUGCUGGUUCAGUUUGAUAAACUGUCCUCUAAACAGAAGGUUAAAACAUCCUCUGGCUUGGUCACCCUGGUAACUGGUCUGUCCACCCCAGCCUCACCGAGCGGUACAUGUUCCUGACAGCUGGUUGGGUCUUGGCCUUGACGGAGUGCAGAAGGGCACCACCACCUUUCUGUGGAGAGAGAGCCAAGGCAGAGAGGCAUAGGCAUAUCCCAGACCCCACCUGCCCAACUGGGUUGUGUGUCGCUGGAAAAACCCUUCUCCCUCUCUGAAUUUUCUUUUUUUUUAAAUUAAAAAACUGAGUUAUAAUUUUAAAAAAAAAUAAAAUAAAAAAUAAUAAUGCAUAUAAAGUUUAUAGGUAGGACAGUCGCUGGCUUAUUUUUUUCUUAUAGGUACCAAUACCUGAGAAGGUAUUGCAUUCUUUUCAUAUGAACUAGUGUUAGUUUUCAGUAGGAAAACAUUCACAGUUUUUAUUUUUAGAAUUUAUAGAACUCUAAAAUUUGUUGUUAAUUUCCCCUUGAGCUAUGGAAAUGGAAAGGAGAGGUGGUGUUCAAGGGCAAGGGAGUGUGAGAUCUAAAGCAUACUGGGCAUUACAUUGAAUAUUUGCAUCCAUUAUUUCAUUUAAUGGAUGAAAAGAGUAAAGAGUCUGCCGGCAAUGCAGACUCUGGGUUCGAUCCCUGGGUUGGGAAGAUUCCUGAAGAAGGAAGUGGCUACCCACUCCAGUAUUCUUGCCUGGAAAAUCCCAUGGACAGCGGAGCUUGGUGGGCUAUAUGGGGUCACAAAGAGCCUGGACCUGACUGAGCGACUUUCACUCACUUUGAUCUCAUUUAAUACUCAAAAUAAUCAUACAAGGUGCAUAUUGUUCUGUCUGUGGAACAAAAAAAACAUAAAACUUGGGCCAACAAAAGCUAAAUAAAGAGCCAGGGUUUGAAGGCAAGUUCAUCUGGCUCGAAAACUCACGUUUUUCCCAUUCCUUGAGUUCUGAUUAGCUUAUACUUAAUAUCAUUUUUCCAAAGACAAGAGGCAUGUAGGAAGCAUCCUGUCAUCUUGUGCAAAGUCAUACAGUAUCCUGGAUUUUAACUGCCACUAAGAUUUAAUAACUGUGUGAAAAAGCAACCAGCAAGGUAUCCCCCUGUGUACCAUAAAUAGGCCACUCCAUGGUAAAUUACACACUCGUGACUUAUCCUAGAAGGAGCUCCACAUCACUGUUAGACACUGUUGCUGACCCAAACCAUGAGGCCUUGCACGUGUUCAGGAUCUGCUCUGCUAAGUGUGUAGCACACUCGGCAGAAACCAUGCUGUUCCCGUCCUUACUACUGACUUACUCAGACUCCCUGCACUCGUGCACAGAUGCAGUUUCUGUCUUUGCUCAUCCGUCACAGUGUCCAGGUGUUUGUUUGUUUGUUGAACCUGGAUGUUUAACCCCAUAAGACUUUUCCAAAGGGUCAAAAAGAUUCAUAAGGGGAUAAUACAUAAAACUCGUCACUUUACUACCACAGGUCUUAAAUUUUUCAUCCACAAACCUGAACGUAAAAUUUCAUUUUGGUGGAUAUGUUACAGUUUCUGCUACAUCAAUCUUUAUUACAGACAGCUUCUCCCAUAUAGGAUGCUGUAAGAGUUCUAGAGUAAAGUUUUAAUUUUAACAACACAAUUUCUGAUUUUGUUUCCCUAUGAAUGUGACUUGAAACUCAGCACAUUCUGAGAC
Molecule: long non-coding RNA, 2814 nt
Filed under: Capra hircus (goat)
Lineage: Eukaryota; Metazoa; Chordata; Mammalia; Artiodactyla; Bovidae
Description: lncRNA (ENSCHIG00000007271.1)
Source: RNAcentral